GAAGCCCUGGCCAGGGACAGGGGAGUGCAAGGGAAGGCUCGGUGACCCAGGCACAUGGUGCAAACCUAGGACCUCCACCUCCCAGCUCUGUAGCCAGGGGCAGCUCACUCCACCCUGGUCCCUGGAGUGUGCUUACAGGCUUCCGUGUUGGGGGGCUGCGAGGCCUGGGCAGCAAACCGCCUUGUACUGCCUCUGGCCUGUGGAUAGUAGAUGCUCAAUAAACCUCUCCUUCCUGUCAGAAACUCAGUCUCCCUAUGUGGAUGACAGCAUUUUCCUAAAGGAUCUAAAGUUCCAUCCACCUUAAACUCUGCCUGAAGGGAAGACUAUGAAACUAGAAAAGAAAAUGGUGUGGAUUUGUGUGCUACUGCAGACACUGCUGCGACAUAUAUUAAGGAGCAUGGAACGGAACCGCGUGGAUGAUAAAGUCUGCGUGGUGUUUACAAAGGAAUAUUCAUAAGCACUUUCUGAGAAGCCCCGUGCAGCUGCUAACAGUGACUGCCUAGGGGAAAAUGGACUUGAAGGAGUAGAGGCCAACUUUUCAUUUUAUACCUUUCUAUACUUUUUAGGACUACCACCUAUGUACGUGCAUUUUAUUUUUGUUAAAUGUUCGCAGGGGAUAUCUGGCAGGACAAGGAACUGGCUGGAAAGGGGCGCGAGGAGAUCUUCUGGGUGACGGAGAUCCAGGUGGUGGUUACUCAGAUGUAUUUUAUCCUUCAAUGAGAAGUUUAUUUCGAAAACGUCCUGUGUCUCUUCCAAAGAUAGCUCCAGCUGGGCAAAGUGGCAGCUCUGUGGGCUCCAACGGAAGAGGCCAAAAGGCCCAUCCUCCUCCUGUCCCCUGGGUUCAAUUCACAGCCCUGCCUGUCUCUAGCUGUGUGAUCCUGGACGUGCCUCUCUGCUUCCUCAGCUCCUGCUUCAAGACAGGCCUAACCAAAUUUUGAGAAGUCCCCAGCAGAGCUCCCGACCCUAAUCAGAGAAGAAGAAUGAAUGUUCUGAGUGGGUACCACAUGGCAGGUGCUAUUCUAAAUACUGAACAGCUGUGAACCCAUUUAAUCCCCGUAAGAAACUGGUGAGCUUGGUUUCAUUUGACUCAAGAGGCCCAGAGACGAAAGCAACUGGUCCAGGGUCACACAGCCAGCAGGAAGUGGAUCAGGGUUGGAACCUGGGCAGUCUGGCCCUGAAGCGCUGCAGAAAGUAUUAUUUUGGGAGCAAAUAGGUAAUAGGUGGUGAGAGCCACCUAAAAAUACCCCUCCUCUCUGGCCCAGUAACCACUUCUAGAAAUCUGCCCUAAACAAGUAACUCAAAUAAAGCGAAAGCUGAGAUA
Molecule: long non-coding RNA, 1321 nt
Filed under: Homo sapiens (human)
Lineage: Eukaryota; Metazoa; Chordata; Mammalia; Primates; Hominidae
Description: HSALNT0387302
Source: RNAcentral